RNAcentral lists this ribosomal RNA (253 nucleotides) under uncultured bacterium. Its description in RNAcentral is "partial 16S ribosomal RNA". It matches the Rfam family "Bacterial small subunit ribosomal RNA", at positions 524 to 776 of the family's 1533-position model. The record is from RNAcentral.
UCCGUAGGCAGCGAGCGUUGUUCGGAAUUACUGGGCGUAAAGAGUGUGUAGGCGGUUCUCUAAGUUCGGUGUGAAAUCUCCUGGCUCAACUGGGAGGGUGCGCCGGAAACUGGAGUGCUUGAGCGUGGGAGAGGAAAGCGGAAUUCCUGGUGUAGCGGUGAAAUGCGUAGAUAUCAGGAGGAACACCUGUGGUGUAGACGGCUUUCUGGACCAUAGCUGACGCUGAGACACGAAAGCGUGGGUAGCAAACAGG